RNAcentral lists this unclassified non-coding RNA (284 nucleotides) under Glomus sp. RNAcentral describes it as "partial contains 5.8S ribosomal RNA and internal transcribed spacer 2". The stretch from base 1 to 71 matches the Rfam family "5.8S ribosomal RNA", at positions 84 to 154 of the family's 154-position model. Lineage: Eukaryota; Fungi; Glomeromycota; Glomeromycetes; Glomerales; Glomeraceae. The record is from RNAcentral.
GUGAAUCAUCAAAUUUUUGAACGCAAAUUGCACUUUCCGGUAUUCCGGAGAGUAUUCCUGUUUGAGGGUCAGUAAAAUAAAAAUCGGUGUUGUUGCUGCUUUUCGUUUUGACGCGUCGGAGUUGAGUUUUCUUACCUUGGGUUAAGGGGCUUAAAAUUUUUCAUUAUUUUCUAACGUAUUUAAAUUUCUUACGUACGUUUGAGAUAGCGUAUACUUUAGUAGGUUCGGUCAUCCUCAUGAUUCGCACCUAUAAUUUUUCAUUAAAUGGGUUCAAAUACGGUAAG